This 445-nucleotide ribosomal RNA is filed under the name uncultured bacterium. Its description in RNAcentral is "partial 16S ribosomal RNA". It matches the Rfam family "Bacterial small subunit ribosomal RNA", at positions 354 to 796 of the family's 1533-position model. The record is from RNAcentral.
GUAGGGAAUAUUGGGCAAUGGAUGCAAGUCUGACCCAGCCAUCCCGCGUGCCGGAAGAAGGCCCUCAGGGUUGUAAACGGCUUUUGACGGUGAAGAACCGACAGGAUGCGUCCUGUUUUGACGGUAGCCGUUGAAUAAGCACCGGCUAACUCCGUGCCAGCAGCCACGGUAAUACGGAGGGUGCGAGCGUUGUCCGGAUUUAUUGGGUUUAAAGGGUGCGUAGGCUGGAAGGUCAGUCAGCGGUGAAAAGCUAUCGCUUAACGAUAGUCUUGCCGCAGAUACUUCCUUUCUUGGAUGAGGAGGAGGCCACUGGAACGGAUGGUGUAGCGGUGAAAUGCAUAGAUAUCAUCCAGAACACCGAUUGCGAAGGCAGGUGGCUGUACCUUAAUCGACGCUGAUGCACGAAAGCAUGGGGAGCAAACAGGAUUAGAAACCCGGGUAGUCC